AAUGUAUAUAAGACAUUUAAUAAUAAAUGUAGAUGCUAUGUCACAUCUGUGUCAGUAGGUGGCAGAGAGGAGAGUGACUACAUUAAUACUCUAUGUUCUUACCUGUGAACAUCUACAUGAUUAGUAACUCUUAACAUU
Mus pahari (shrew mouse) is the source of this 138-nucleotide small nucleolar RNA. RefSeq annotates it as small nucleolar RNA SNORA17. The transcript has a single exon. Lineage: Eukaryota; Metazoa; Chordata; Mammalia; Rodentia; Muridae. The record is from RefSeq and is a predicted model, not a curated record.